UGUAUUUUUUACAGGCAAAUGGAGGAUGCCUUGGAAUGUUGAGGCGAUGAAGGACGUGGCGUAACUGCGAUAAGCUUCGGGGAGGUGUUAAGCAACCUUUGAUCCGGAGAUUUCCGAAUGGGGAAACCUAUUCUACUAAAAGUAGGAUAUCUGAUCAAUAGAUUGGAUGCGUACCCGCUGAAGUGAAACAUCUCAGUAGGUGGAGGAAAAGAAAAAAAGAAUGCUUAUGCAUUAAAAUUCCCUGAGUAGCGGCGAGCGAAACGGGAGGAGCCCAAACCCGGCUUAUGUGGUCGGGGGUUGUAAGUUAAAUAUGUUCUCUUUUAUUAGAGACGGAGUAUUACCAAGUUGUGAUUUGGUUAACCAAAUCUUGCUGGAAAGCGGAGCCGAAGAGAGUAAAAGCCUCGUAGGUGAAAACUAUCACACACUUCGAAUAUUUGACUUGAGUACCGUAAGGAACGAAAACCUUGUGGGAAUCAGGCAGGACUAAACUGCCAAGGCUAAAUACUCAACAUUACCGAUAGUGAACCAGUACCGUGAGGGAAAGGUGAAAAGUAGCCCUGUUAGGGCGGUGAAAUAGAACCUGAAACCAUUUGCCUACAAGGAGUCAGAGGGGAAUUUAUUCCCUGAUGGCGUGCCUUUUGCAGAAUGAGCCAACGAGUGACUGUUAGUCCUUUGUCUAAUCUCGUUACCGAGAGGAGGCACAGCGAAAGCGAGUCUUAAUAGGGCGUAUAGUUUUGCAGUGCAAAACUGAGGGCUGGCAGACGACCCGAAGCCAGGUGAGCUUGCCAUGGCCAGGUUGAAUUCCACUGAAAAGUGGAAGGAGGACCGAACCCGUAGAUCGUGCAAUAUCUUGGGAUGAGCUGUGGUAAGGAGUGAAAAGCUAAUCGAACUUGGUAAUAGCUGGUUCUCCCCGAAAUAGCUUUAGGGCUAGCGUUUUCAUAUAUUAUGGGGGUAGAGCACUGAAUGGAUUUUCGUAGGGAAACCUAGACUGUCCAAUCAAACUUCGAAUACCAUAAUUGUAAGAAGGCAGUCAGACCGUGGGGGCUAAGCUCCAUGGUCAAAAGGGAAACAGCCCAGAUCUUCAUCUAAGGUCCCUAAAUUCAAGCUAAGUGCAAGUAAGGAGGUGAAGCUUCUUUGAUAGUUAGGAAGUUAGCUUAGAAGCAGCUAUCUUUUAAAAAGUGCGUAACAGCUUACUAACUAAGAAGUUUUGUGCCGAAGAUUUCCGGGGCUAAAGCUUGAUACCGAAGAUAAGAAUUAUUACUUUUAAGUAAUAGUGGUAGGGGAGCAUCCCUCUUUCGUUGAAGGUGAGUCGUGAGGCUUGCUGGAGGAUGAGGGAGAGAGAAUGUUGGCAUGAGUAACCGCAAUUCCGGUGAGAGCCCGGAACACCGUAAACCCAAGGUUUCCUUGGCAAUGGUGAUCAGCCAAGGGUUAGGCGGACCUAAGGCGCAACCGAAAGGUGAGGCCGAUGGACAGCCGGUUAAUAUUCCGGCCCUUUCUUAUAAAUUUCCAAAUAGGAACGAAGAUUAGUAAUUUAAGUGGAUUAUUGAAUUUCCAUUCAUUCUUUAAGGAGCAAUCCAAGAAGCGUGAAAAGGUGGGAUUUCGGUUCCAUCGAUUUGAGUGAGCAAUCUUCCCAGAAAAGCUUUUUUGGAGCUAAUUUAUAAGGAAACCGUACCGUAAACCGACGCAGGUGGGUGGGCGUAAGUGUGCCAAGGUGAACGAGUGAAACUUCGUCAAGGAACUCGGCAAAAAAGUGGUCGUAACUUCGGGAUAAGACCUGGGGAUACAGUAAUGUAUCCCCCGCAGCGAAAGUACUCCUAGCGACUGUUUAUCAAAAACACAGGUCCCUGCUAAACUCGUAAGAGGAUGUAUAGGGGCUGAGGCCUGACCAGUGCUGGAACAUUAACAGCGUCGGUCUUUCUUCGUUUACGAGGGAAGGCUGAAUGCUCGAAGUGCCAGUGAACGUCCGCGGUAACUAUAACCGUGUUAAAGUAGCGUAAUCCCUUGUCGGGUAAGUUCCGACCCGCACGAAAGGCUUAACGACUGGGAGGCUGUCUCGACGAAGUGCUCGGUGAAAAUGCAAUACCGGUAAAGAUGCCGGUUACCUGCGGCUAGACGAGAAGACCCCGGGAGCUUCACUGUAGUCAGAUAUUGACUUUUGAUUUUAGAUGCGAAGCGUAGGUGGUAGACUUUGAAGUUUUUCUUUCGGGAAAAAUGGAGUCGCCAAUGAGACACCACUCUUUUAAAAUCUUAAUUCUAACCUGGCCAUACCUCACUGUAUUUAAUCUUUUGAAUAUAGUGAGGUAUGGCGGGGACAGUUUCUGGCGGUCAGUUUAAGUGGGGUGCUUUUCUCCUAAAGAGUAACGGAGAAGUUUAUAAGGUCAGCUAGCUCCGGAUGGAAAUCGGAGUGAUUGUGUAAAGGCAUAAGCUGGCUUUACUGUGAGACGGAUAUGUCGAGCAGUUGGGAAACCAGAACUUAGUGAACCGACCGUGUAUGAUUUUAGAAGCACGGGAGAUCAUCAGACAAAAGCUACCCCGGGGAUAACAGGUUGGUAGGGCCCGCGAGUUCACAUCAACGGCCCUGUUCGACACCUCGAUGUCGGCUCAUCACAUCCUGGAGGUGAAGCAGCUUCCAAGGGUAUGGCUGUUCGCCAUUUAAAGUGGUACGUGAGCUGGGUUCAGACCGUCGUGAGACAGGUUGGUCUCUAUCUACCGCAGGCGUUGAGUUUUGAGAAGAUUUACUCCUAGUACGAGAGGACCGGAGUGAACUAACCUCUGGUGUGCCAGUUGUUCUGUCAAGAGCAUUGCUGGGUAGCUAUGUUAGGAAUGGAUAAGCGCUGAAAGCAUCUAAGCACGAAGCCAACUUCAAGAUUAGAACUCAUAGACCCCUCAGAGAUGAUGAGGUUGAUAGGUUGCAGGUGUAAGGGUAGUAAUGCCUUUAGCCAAGCAAUACUAAUAGGUCAAAGCAAUUUUAGC
This 2973-nucleotide ribosomal RNA is filed under the name activated sludge metagenome. RNAcentral's name for it is "bacterial LSU rRNA". It matches the Rfam family "Bacterial large subunit ribosomal RNA". The record is from RNAcentral.